Molecule: ribosomal RNA, 270 nt
Filed under: uncultured archaeon
Lineage: Archaea
Description: partial 16S ribosomal RNA
Rfam family: Archaeal small subunit ribosomal RNA
Source: RNAcentral
CUGCAGCCCGAGCGGUGAUCGAUUUUAUUGAGCCUAAAGCGUCCGUAGCCGGACUAGUAAACCCUUGGGUAAAUUGGGCAGCUUAACUGUCCAAAUUCCGAGGGGACUGCUAGUCUUGGGACCGGGAGAGGUCAGAGGUACUCAAGGGGUAGGGGCUAAAUCCUGUAAUCCUUUGGGGACCACCAGUGGCGAAGGCGUCUGACUAGAACGGAUCCGACGGUAAGGGACGAAACCCUGGGGCGCGAACCGGAUUAGAUACCCGAGUAGUCC